UGGCUCAGUGGAGAGAGCGUUGGCCUGCAGACCCAAGGGUCCCAGGUUCGAUUCUGG
Myotis brandtii (Brandt's bat) is the source of this 57-nucleotide non-coding RNA. The record is from Rfam. NCBI's taxonomy places the organism in Eukaryota, Metazoa, Chordata, Mammalia, Chiroptera, Vespertilionidae.